Molecule: ribosomal RNA, 468 nt
Filed under: uncultured bacterium
Lineage: Bacteria
Description: partial 16S ribosomal RNA
Rfam family: Bacterial small subunit ribosomal RNA
Source: RNAcentral
GACGAACGCUGGCGGCGUGCUUAACACAUGCAAGUCGAACGGAAAGGCCCUGCUUUUGUGGGGUGCUCGAGUGGCGAACGGGUGAGUAACACGUGAGUAACCUGCCCUUGACUUUGGGAUAACUUCAGGAAACUGGGGCUAAUACCGGAUAGGAGCUCCUGCUGCAUGGUGGGGGUUGGAAAGUUUCGGCGGUUGGGGAUGGACUCGCGGCUUAUCAGCUUGUUGGUGGGGUAGUGGCUUACCAAGGCUUUGACGGGUAGCCGGCCUGAGAGGGUGACCGGCCACAUUGGGACUGAGAUACGGCCCAGACUGCAACGGGAGGCAGCAGUGGGGAAUAUUGCACAAUGGGCGGAAGCCUGAUGCAGCAACGCCGCGUGCGGGAUGACGGCCUUCGGGUUGUAAACAGAUUUCGCCUGUGACGAAGAGUGAGUGACGGUAAUGGGUAAAGAAGCACCGGCUAACUACGUG